Long non-coding RNA from Oncorhynchus tshawytscha (Chinook salmon), 461 nucleotides. The record is from Ensembl. NCBI's taxonomy places the organism in Eukaryota, Metazoa, Chordata, Actinopteri, Salmoniformes, Salmonidae.
CCAGUGAAGAGAGAGUGUGUGUGUGUAUGGAUUAGGGUGGAAGGAGCACUUCUAUAGAAGCACAUAGCCAGGAGGAUGCUUUUUUUAUAUAUAUAUUUCUCUCUCCACUCUCUGUUUAUCUCAUAGGCUACCACAUCUCCAAUCUCUUUGCCAGAGCAAGAAAAACACAAACUCUUCUGUGGGAGAAGUGUCAGAUGUUGAAGCGUUCUGGAGCAUGGUUCUUUAAGGGACAACCCCAGCAAGUCCUCCCUGCUCCCCUGCCCAUCUCCAGGCCCAGAGGGACAGGUACAGAGAGCCCCCGUACCCAGACCCCUACCCAUGCCCAUCACCAGCCCAGUGCCCAGCCCAGCUACCAGUCAGACCCUGGUGCAGAGGACUACACAGAGCGGCAGGAGCAGCAGGAUAACUCCUACUCCAACAUACAAAACCAAAAGCCCACUGAUGAGCCCCCAUACUCCAGU